RNAcentral lists this long non-coding RNA (4608 nucleotides) under Homo sapiens (human). Its description in RNAcentral is "non-protein coding lnc-NPAS4-1:8". Lineage: Eukaryota; Metazoa; Chordata; Mammalia; Primates; Hominidae. The record is from RNAcentral.
AAGGCAACUGGCGGAGUGGCGGCUCCACCAGAGCCUGGGAGCUGCCCCCGCCCCCGAGCCGCGAGCCCCGCGCCGGGCCGGGGAGUCCCCGGCGCCACACGCCCCCACCACCCCCAUCUUAGCGCCCCCCACCCUCUAUGGAGACAUUUCAACCAGGGAGAAGGGAAGUCCUGCCCUUGCCCCUCGCCCCCGCCCUGCUCCUCCAACAGGGGAGACUUCUGUCCAAACCUUGGAAAGAAACGAGAUGCCAGGCCUAGCGCCUUCGGGGAUCCUCUCUGGACAAGGCCACAGGGUGAAAACACCAGGUGAGGACUUCACUACCCUUGGGGCCACCAUGGGACCCUGGAGACCUUUGCCUCCCUCCAGGCGCCCCCGACCCCUUAAACUUUUUCUCCCUGAGCUCAGCCUGGAGCAGAGUUAGGAUCCUGGGAAAGCCCCUUACCAGUUGCUCCAACCCCCUCCUUAAACUGGAAGGGAAACUGAGGCCCAGAGAAAAGUAGUGAUUGACUAGGGCCACAUGGCACGUUCCUAGAGGAAGAGCAUGGGCCAGAACCCACAGAUGCUGACCUCCUGGCCAGAGGUCAAGGCAUUCCUUAUGGUUGAGCAUAGCCAGCCCCGUGUGCCAGUAUCCAGCCCCUGCCCUGCACCAAGCAGAGGGGCUGGACACCUCUGUCAUGGCACCAGCUGCCUCUCCUUCCCCAGCACAGUCUGGACCUGGGCGGACUUUUUGGAAAAGCUUCUGGAUGCCACGGACUCCACGACCAACCAACUAGGUUGCUGCUGCUUGCAAACAUCGCCUCCAUUGAAGGAUUCCUGCAGCCACCAGCUCUGGAACUUUCUGGAACCAAACAUUUCCCCAGACUGCCUACAAGGACCAAUUGGCCUCUGGAUCACUUCCUGGAGGCGUUUGACCGGGACCUGGGAGGGCAGCUGAGAAGUGCCUGACCAUUCUCAAGGAGCUGCGUGGAUUCCAGACAUCUCUGGGCUGGUCUCUGGACCGGGAUGGGGGACCCAGAGGUGGAGCCGAACACACAAGCAGCACUUGAGGGCUCCGAGGGUGGCAAGGAGAGAAGUUCCUGCUCUGGUACAGCCCUGGGACCUUGAAAGGUGCUUCAACAGAGCGUCCACUCCCAGCGCCUAGCUCUGGGACCUUGAAUGGUGCUUUAACAGAGCGUCUGCUCCCAGCGCCAAGCCCUCAGUGCAGAGGGGGAGACUCAGGCGGCCCUCAGACACAAUUCGCCAAGGUCGCACAGCAAGUCAGGGUGCCGCUAAGACUAGGACCUACAGCUCUGCCUCCUGGCCCAGGCUCCUCAGCACCUGGGCCCCAGAGGACAGCCUGUGGGAGGCCCACAUGGCCACUGCACCAUGAACCAAGGACCUGGUCCGGGUCCACCUCCACCAAGUGCUGGCCGUGUGUCACUGGGGUCACUCCACUCUCUGCAUUAGGUCUCAGUCAUCCAAGACCAUCUUUCAAGGGCCGUCACUCCAAUUAUGAGUCUGGGAUUUUCUGAAAUUGAGCAUUUUGGCCAGGCUGUGGGGUCCCUCUAUGACUGCCUGUAAGACACUGCCAAGGGGACUUUCUUCCUUUCACCAGACUGAAGCUAAGAAGUGCUGGAGACAGCAGUUGCUUUAGCCACAGGCUGUGUAGACCACCUGAGGAUGACCUGGGGGUCUGUUUUGUGCACCUUGGAACCCAUCGGAUCCCUCCAAUGACACAUUUGUCCAGAGCAAGACAAGAUCACACUUUGACAGCCCUCUGUCAAGAUCCUUGCUCCAAAUCUCCAGACUAGCAGCCAGGAGUCUCCAUGCUGUUCUGAAGAAGCAGAUUCCUCACCCACCCUUCAACUCCUUCCCAGGAGGUAAUCCUCCUCCAAAUCUCUGGAAAAGAUACACCUCCUCUUCUCUGAUAAAGGCUGGGGGGUGAUGCCCCUCCCCCAGUUUCCCAAUAAAGCUAUGCAAGACAGGAGCAAGGGAUCUCACGGCCUGUUUUUGCUACAAAAACCCUUUUUCGGAAAAAAUAAUAAAGAAAGGAAUCAGCCAAUCCCUCCUCGAUGCCAUCACCUCUUCUCGGUGAUUUUUCGGGGAAGGAGUGGGUGGGUUGCUAUGGCAACAGAUGCGAGCUCGUCUCAGUAAAGAAGGGACCUUGAUAUUUUUUUCUCUCUCUCAUUCUCUCAGUUGUGUGUGUGUGCGUGCAUGUGUAUGUGCGCCUGUGUGUGUGUGCAUGCGCGCUACACAUGCCUGUGCCCACACCAGGAAUUUUUUUUUUUUAGAACUAAAGAAAGCCCUUCUCUUCUCUCAGCUCUCCAAAUAUGGAGUGAUGGAAAACCACUUACUCCUGCAGGCCAGGGAGAAUUCAGGAUGAUUCAAGAGAAAAGGGAGAGGUCAUGUGGGGCUCCUUUCCUCCAUGUUUUUACUAGAGAUUGCAUGCAACAAGAGAGCUUUGCAAAUGGUUAGGGGGCCUUUGGAAAGAGGAGAAGAUGUUAGGUGGAAAGAGGUGAGCAAGAUAUAGAUGGUGCAGGAACUCAACGGGUGACCUCAGAGAGGGCAACAGAAGCUAUAUUGAGUCUGGGGACGCAUGUACAUCCCACCACACCAUCAGAUGCUGAAAGACCCAGAGCAGACUCAGAUAUGGACACAAACACAGACACUGACAGAAAGGCAUAUGGAAAAUUGUAGACAUAAAUACACACAGGCACAAACAUAGAACUGCACAGAACAUAGGAAGUUGGAGACAAAAAAAAAAGACAAGCAUAGAUGCAGGCAUAGGUAAACAUAGAUAUACAGGGGUACAGACUCGCAGCUACAAAGACACAUGCAAACAGAUAGAGAUGUAGACAUCCAACCACCUCCAGACAGGUUUGGAGGCAGACACACAGGACACACAAACACAGUCUCAGUCAAAUGAACACACACACACACAAACACACAGACACACACACAGAGUCUGGCUCUUUUCCUUCAAUUGCCCAAGCAUCCUUGAGCAGUAGUGCAUAGCUGAGGAUGCUGCACGCUUGCCCAGUAGGUUUGGCUGAGAGGCUUGCUCUCCCAUUCCUUCUACACGCUCACCCCAAAGCCCCUCUCCCAAUUCACUCCCUUGCCCACUUUCCCACAGCCAGCAGGCUCUGAUGCCUCCCCCAUCUCAGGCUUCUAAUUCUUAGCUUGUUCUGCUGCUGCCUGCCACUUGGGGGAGAGAGUGGGGUGACUCAGCCAGGCCAGGAUGACUCACACUGCCAGUAUUUUUAGCAGCGGCCAGGAGCUCUCUAGUGUGCCAGCCGCCCCCCUCCUCCUGCUUGCUAUUUCGGAACCGUCACUGGUGAUAUAAAUAGCUCCUCUCCCACGGCCUGAAGCUGCUGCCAAGCUAUUUUUGGUUCUGCACAGUUAAAAAUAGCUUCACGGAGGUGGGAGGCAAGGGGAGUGGGAGCUGGCCUAGGGAGAGGAGACAUUGGGGCACACAGAGCUUCUCAACUUGAAUCAGAGUGGGCGAACUAGGAUGAGCCCUUCUCUACCCCCUCCCUUGUCCCUUUCUAGACCCUUCUUCCCUUCCAAAGUGUUUCUUCCCAUUCCAUUCUCCUGGAAAAAGCCAGGGGCUCUUCCCCUGAGCCCAGUUCUCCUCCCUUGCUUACUUCACCCUUAGAGCCCAGAAAUCUUGGCCCCCUGCAAACCCUCCAUAUUCAUUCACAGAGAAUAAGGGGACAGUCAAAGAGUAGGCUCACUCUGAGGCCUGUGGGUACCCAAGCCCUACGUCGAUGUCCCCGGCAAACCGUAGCAUGACUUCCAUGGUGACUCUUUCAGCACCACGGACAGCGGUCGGCGCAGUAUUCCUUCACUGCAGAUUCGCUCAGAUUGCUGGAGGCCAUGACACCCAGCCAGUAGACUCCUCUUAUUGUGGAGGGGGACACUCAGAAUGCCUCACAGGCAGCUUUAGCAUCAGUGAAUGAAGAACACAGGAACAACCCCCCUGGAAUUUCAUACGGAAGGGGAUCCAAAGAUCAAGGGAUUGUUCAAAUGGAAGAUUGAGAGAGGGGUGGGUAGGUACAUUAGAGGUCAGAUUGAGAAGAAAGAAGCAACACAGACCCAUGUCCAGGAGGAAUCAUCUCUCUGUCAUCCAGGUCAAUGGGGUUAGAGACAGUGGCAGACAGAUAAGCGGACAUCGUUCCCUCCACCUCAGCUGUGACACUGACCACAGGAUGGCCCCAACCUCUGCCAAAAUGCAUAAGACACCAGAAUAGGGUCUCCACACCUUGUACACCUCUUCUAAGACAUACUUCUCCUCAGCCGCCUCUCCUCCCACUCUACCUCUCUUACUACCACCCCUUUCCAUGAGGAGCGGAGAGUUCCCUGGCCCCAAAUUGUCCUUUUUGAUGUCAAAGUUCAUCUCCAUGCUUCCUGUGUGACUGGGACUUCCCAGUCCCACCCUCCAAUUUUUAAGUGGCCUCAUUUCCAGCCACUUAAGUGAUUCCAUGCGCACACAGCUACUCCAUCAAACGAGAUUUCAGAUAAGAACAUUCCCUAGCCCACUUGCUUCUUGCAUUAUUGAAUCCCAGGAUAAGAACGGCACAUCCUCGCCCCUGUAGAGAGCAAUCAUCUGUGGUGAAAAGAGAAAAAAAG